This 490-nucleotide ribosomal RNA is filed under the name uncultured bacterium. Its description in RNAcentral is "partial 16S ribosomal RNA". It matches the Rfam family "Bacterial small subunit ribosomal RNA", at positions 30 to 507 of the family's 1533-position model. The record is from RNAcentral.
AUUGAACGCUGGCGGCAUGCUUUACACAUGCAAGUCGAACGGCAGCGGGGUAGUGCUUGCACUACGGCCGGCGAGUGGCGCACGGGUGAGUAAUAUAUCGGAACGUACCGAGUAAUGGGGGAUAACCAAUCGAAAGAUUGGCUAAUACCGCAUACGUCCUGAGGGAGAAAGCGGGGGAUCGCAAGACCUCGCGUUAUUCGAGCGGCCGAUAACUGAUUAGCUAGUUGGUGGGGUAAAGGCCUACCAAGGCGACGAUCAGUAGCGGGUCUGAGAGGACGAUCCGCCACACUGGGACUGAGACACGGCCCAGACUCCUACGGGAGGCAGCAGUGGGGAAUUUUGGACAAAGGGGGCAACCCUGAUCCAGCCAUGCCGCGUGUAUGAAGAAGGCCUUCGGGUUGUAAAGUACUUUUGUUAGGGAAGAAAAGGGAAGUGCUAAUACCACUUUUUGCUGACGGUACCUAAAGAAUAAGCACCGGCUAACUACGUG